CUACGUGCCAGCAGCCGCGGUAAUACGGAAGGUCCAGGCGUUAUCCGGAUUUAUUGGGUUUAAAGGGAGCGUAGGCUGGAGAUUAAGUGUGUUGUGAAAUGUAGACGCUCAACGUCUGAAUUGCAGCGCAUACUGGUUUCCUUGAGUACGCACAACGUUGGCGGAAUUCGUCGUGUAGCCGUGAAAUGCUUAGAUAUGACGAAGAACUCCGAUUGCGAAGGCAGCUGACGGGAGCGCAACUGACGCUUAAGCUCGAAGGUGCGGGUAUCGAACAGGAUUAGAUACCCUGGUAGUCCGCACAGUAAACGAUGGAUGCCCGCUGUUGGUAUCUGGUAUCAGCGGCUAAGCGAAAGCAUUAAGCAUCCCACCUGGGGAGUACGCCGGCAACGGUGAAACUCAAAGAAAUUGACGGGGGCCCGCACAAGCGGAGGAACAUGUGGUUUAAUUCGAUGAUACGCGAGGAACCUUACCCGGGCUUGAA
Molecule: ribosomal RNA, 481 nt
Filed under: uncultured bacterium
Lineage: Bacteria
Description: bacterial SSU rRNA
Rfam family: Bacterial small subunit ribosomal RNA
Source: RNAcentral